This 254-nucleotide ribosomal RNA is filed under the name uncultured bacterium. Its description in RNAcentral is "partial 16S ribosomal RNA". It matches the Rfam family "Bacterial small subunit ribosomal RNA", at positions 524 to 776 of the family's 1533-position model. The record is from RNAcentral.
UACGUAGGGCGCAAGCGUUGUCCGGAAUUAUUGGGCGUAAAGAGCUCGUAGGUGGUUUGUUGCGUCUGCCGUGAAAACCCGAGGCUUAACCUCGUGGCUUGCGGUGGAUACGGGCAGACUUGAGGUAGGUAGGGGAGAAUGGAAUUCCUGGUGUAGCGGUGAAAUGCGCAGAUAUCAGGAGGAACACCGAUGGCGAAGGCAGGUCUCUGGGCCACUACUGACGCUGAGAAGCGAAAGCAUGGGGAGCGAACAGG